Molecule: non-coding RNA, 1164 nt
Organism: Lipotes vexillifer (Yangtze River dolphin)
Lineage: Eukaryota; Metazoa; Chordata; Mammalia; Artiodactyla; Lipotidae
Source: RefSeq, a predicted model, not a curated record
AGGAUGCAGGUCGUGGCACCGCGAGCCCUCUUCCUGCUGCUCUUGGGGGCCCUGGCCCUGACCGAGACCUGGGCGGGCUCCCACUCCCUGAGGUACUUCCUCACCGGGGUGUCCCGGCCCGGCCGCGGGGAGCCCCGCUUCAUCGCCGUCGGCUACGUGGACGACACGCAGUUCGUGCGGUUCGACAGCGACGCCCCGAAUCCGAGGGGUGAGCCGCGGGCGCCGUGGGUGGAGCAGGAGCGGCCGGAGUACUGGGAAGAGGAGACGCGGAUCUUGAAGGACGCCGCACAGAUUUACCGAGUGAACCUGAGCACCUUGCGCGGCUACUACAACCAGAGCGAGGCCGGGUCUCACACCCUCCAGGAGAUGCGCGGCUGCGACGUGGGGCCGAACGGUCGCCUCCUCCGCGGGUACAGACAGUACGCCUACGACGGCGCCGAUUACAUCGCCCUGAACGAGGACCUGCGCUCCUGGACCGCGGCCGACGCGGCGGCUCAGAUCACCAAGCAAGAGUGUGAGGCGCCCGGUGUUACAGAGCAACACAGGAACUACCUGGAGGGCACCUGCGUGGAGUGGCUCCUCAGAUACCUGGAGAUCGGGAAGGACACGCUGCAGCGCGCAGACCCUCCAAAGACACACGUGACCCAUCACCCCAUCUCUGACCGUGAGGUCACCCUGAGGUGCUGGGCCCUGGGCUUCUACCCUAAGGAGAUCUCACUGACCUGGCAGCGGGAUGGGGGGGAUCAGACCCAGGACAUGGAGCUUGUGGAGACCAGGCCUUCAGGGGACGGAACCUUCCAGAAGUGGGCGGCCCUGGUGGUGCCUUCUGGAGAGGAGCAGAGAUACUCGUGCCAUGUGCAGCACGAGGGGCUUCAGGAGCCCCUCACCCUGGGAUGGGAACCUCCUCAGCCCACCGUCCCCAUCAAGGGCCUCAUUGUUGGCCUGGUUCUCUUGGUGGUCACUGGCGCCGUGGUGGCUGGAGCUGUGAUCUGGAGGAAGAAGCACUCAGGUGAAAAAGGAGGGAGCUACGCUCAGGCUGCAAGCAGUGACAGUGCCUAGGGCUCUGAUGUGUCUCUCACGGAUCCUAAAGGUGAGACCCUGGAGGGCCUAGAUUGGGAGAGAUGUUGGGGUGGAGGAGAUGCCCCAGGUGGUGGGGAUCCUUGA